CCCAUAUGGGACAAGCAGUUCUGAAAGUGUGUGUGUGUGCUUUGUGCGGAGGUUCGAAGAAAAUCAGAUACCUUCGUAGUUCCGACCGUAAAUGAUGCCGACCCGCGAUCGUGCGGCGUUAUUCCCAUGACCUGCCGGGUAGCGUCCAGGAAACCAAAGUCUUUGGGUUCCAGGGGCGAGUAUAGUUGCAAAACUGAAACAAAGGAAUUGA
RNAcentral lists this non-coding RNA (211 nucleotides) under Scleropages formosus (Asian bonytongue). RNAcentral's name for it is "Eukaryotic small subunit ribosomal RNA". It matches the Rfam family "Eukaryotic small subunit ribosomal RNA", at positions 925 to 1156 of the family's 1831-position model. The record is from Rfam by way of RNAcentral. Lineage: Eukaryota; Metazoa; Chordata; Actinopteri; Osteoglossiformes; Osteoglossidae.